RNAcentral lists this ribosomal RNA (775 nucleotides) under uncultured Neocallimastigales. RNAcentral's name for it is "partial large subunit ribosomal RNA". It matches the Rfam family "Eukaryotic large subunit ribosomal RNA", at positions 22 to 616 of the family's 3401-position model. The record is from RNAcentral. Lineage: Eukaryota; Fungi; Neocallimastigomycota; Neocallimastigomycetes; Neocallimastigales.
UAGAUGCGAGAGUAGAGCAUAUCAAUAAGCGGAGGAAAAGAAACUAACAAGGAUUCCCUUAGUAACGGCGAGUGAAGCGGGAAGAGCUCAAAUUUGAAAUCUUCAAGGUUUUACCUUGACGAAUUGUAGUUUAAAGAAGUGUUUUCUGUUAGAUGAGUAGCAAAAGUUCCUUGGAAUGGGACAUCAUAGAGGGUGAGAAUCCCGUAUUUGGUUAUUCAUUCUAGCUUUGUGAUACACUUUCAAAGAGUCGGAUUGUUUGGGAAUGCAGUCCAAAAUGGGUGGUAAAUUUCAUCUAAAGCUAAAUAUUGGCGAGAGACCGAUAGCGAACAAGUACCGUGAGGGAAAGAUGAAAAGAACUUUGAAAAGAGAGUUAAACAGUACGUGAAACUGUCAAAAGGGAAGCGUUUGACACCAGUGUUGUUUUUCCGAAAAUCAAUUACGAAUGGCUUGAUUUUGUGUUGUAUUGACCUUAUCAGCUUUCUGCACUUUUUUUCGAGUCUUUCUUAAUGCACUUUUCGGUUAACAAGUCAACAUCAAUUUCUUUUGUUGUAAAAGAGUAUUCGGAAGGUGGCUUUCUUUUCGGAGAAAGUGUUUAUAGCCCUAUACUUCUACAAUCGGAGAGAUUGAGGUCUGCAGCGUAGAUCCUUCGGGGUUAGAUACACUUGUGCUAAGUUGUAGCUUUUCAUAGACAACUUGUUGACUAUGUUUAGUCAUGCGGCUUACUCGCUUAUGCUAUUUUACCUACGCUUAGGAUGUUGAGCGCAUGUCUCUCUCU